Molecule: ribosomal RNA, 459 nt
Filed under: uncultured bacterium
Lineage: Bacteria
Description: partial 16S ribosomal RNA
Rfam family: Bacterial small subunit ribosomal RNA
Source: RNAcentral
CCUACGGGAGGCAGCAGUGAGGAAUAUUGGUCAAUGGCCGAGAGGCUGAACCAGCCAAGUCGCGUGAGGGAAGACGGCCCUACGGGUUGUAAACCUCUUUUGUCGGGGAGCAAAGCGAGUCACGUGUGACUCAUUGAGAGUACCCGAAGAAAAAGCAUCGGCUAACUCCGUGCCAGCAGCCGCGGUAAUACGGAGAAUGCGAGCGUUCUCCGGAUUUAUUGGGGUUAAAGGGUGCGCAGGCGGAGGUGCAAGUCAGCGGUCAAAUUGCGGGGCUCAACCCCGUACUGCCGUUGAAACUGCAGCCCUUGAGUGCGCGAGAAGUAUGCGGAAUGCGUGGUGUAGCGGUGAAAUGCAUAGAUAUCACGCAGAACUCCGAUUGCGAAGGCAGCAUACCGGCGCGCAACUGACGCUCAUGCACGAAAGCGUGGGUAUCGAACAGGAUUAGAUACCCCUGUAGUC